This 439-nucleotide ribosomal RNA is filed under the name Nemognatha chrysomelina. Its description in RNAcentral is "partial large subunit ribosomal RNA". It matches the Rfam family "Archaeal large subunit ribosomal RNA", at positions 2010 to 2654 of the family's 2987-position model. Lineage: Eukaryota; Metazoa; Arthropoda; Insecta; Coleoptera; Meloidae. The record is from RNAcentral.
GCAGUAUCUUGACUGUACAAAGGUAGCAUAAUCAUUAGUUUUUUAAUUGAAAGCUGGAAUGAAUGGCUGGAUAAGAAAAUUACUGUCUCUUUUUAAUUAAAUUGAACUUUAUUUUUAAGUUAAAAAGCUUAAAUUUUAUAAAAAGACGAGAAGACCCUAUAGAGUUUAAUAGGUUAAAAUUAUAUAUAAAUUAGGAUUUUACACUAUAUAUAAUUUUUCUUAUUUUGUUGGGGUGACAAUAGAAUUUAAUAAACUUCUUUCUUUAAAAUCAUUGAUUUAUGAAUUUAUGAUCCUAAGAUUUAGAUUAAAAGAAUAAAUUACCUUAGGGAUAACAGCGUAAUUUUUUUAGAGAGUUCUUAUCGAUAAAAAAGAUUGCGACCUCGAUGUUGGAUUAAAGUUAAUUGUUGGUGUAGAAGCUAAUAAAUUAAGACUGUUCGAC